AACGAACGCUGGCGGCGUGUUUAAGACAUGCAAGUCGCACGGGAUAAGACAUGUAGUAAUACUUGUUUUAUUUAGUGGCGCACGGGUGAGUAACACGUGAAUUACAUGCCCUAUAGUGGGGAAUAGCCCAGGGAAACUUGGAUUAAUACCCCAUGGUAUCGAAAGAUUAAAGGUGGCCGCAAGGCUGUCGCUAUAGGAUUGGUUCGCGCCCUAUCAGCUUGUUGGUGAGGUAACGGCUCACCAAGGCAAUGACGGGUACCUGGUCUGAGAGGACGAUCAGGCACACUGGAACUGAGGCACGGUCCAGACACCUACGGGUGGCAGCAGUCGAGAAUAAUUCACAAUGGGGGCAACCCUGAUGGUGCAACGCCGCGUGGAGGAUGACGGUCUUCGGAUUGUAAACUCCUGUCAUCUGGGAGAAAGACCUGACGGUAAAUAGCCGGCAGGGUUGAUAGUACCAGAAGAGGAAGGGACGGCUAACUUCGUGCCAGCCGCCGCGGUAA
RNAcentral lists this ribosomal RNA (503 nucleotides) under uncultured bacterium. Its description in RNAcentral is "partial 16S ribosomal RNA". It matches the Rfam family "Bacterial small subunit ribosomal RNA", at positions 29 to 523 of the family's 1533-position model. The record is from RNAcentral.